This 73-nucleotide transfer RNA is filed under the name Camelus bactrianus (Bactrian camel). It matches the Rfam family "tRNA". Rfam says of the family: Transfer RNA (tRNA) molecules are approximately 80 nucleotides in length. Their secondary structure includes four short double-helical elements and three loops (D, anti-codon, and T loops). The record is from Rfam by way of RNAcentral. RNAcentral also lists the same sequence under 2 other names. Lineage: Eukaryota; Metazoa; Chordata; Mammalia; Artiodactyla; Camelidae.
GGAGGUGAAGCUCAAGUGGUAGAGCGCAUGCUUAGCACGCAUGAGGUCCUGACCUCAAUUCCCAGUACCUCCU